CAAUAGCGUAUAUUAAAGUUGUUGCAGUUAAAAGCUCGUAGUUGGAUUUCUGGGAGAGUGGCGAUGUCCGCUUAACGUGUGUGCAGCGACGCUCUUCCAUCCUUCUGUUAGCGUCUCUUGGCAUUCAUUUGCUGGUGGCGGGCUCAGAUAUUUUACCUUGAGAAAAUUAGAGUGUUUCAGGCAGGCUAGGCCGGAAUACAUUAGCAUGGAAUAAUGGAAUAGGACUACGGUCUCUUUGUUGGUUUGAGGGACUGCAGUAAUGAUUAAUAGGGAUAGUUGGGGGCGAUUAGUAUUUAAUUGUCAGAGGUGGAAUUCUCAGAUUGUUAAGACUAACUUAUGCGAAGACAUUUGUCCAAGGAAUGUUUUCUAUUAAUUCAAGAACGAAAGUUAAGGGGAGUCAAAGAAUGAUCAGAUACCAU
Molecule: ribosomal RNA, 419 nt
Filed under: uncultured eukaryote
Lineage: Eukaryota
Description: SSU rRNA
Rfam family: Eukaryotic small subunit ribosomal RNA
Source: RNAcentral